Molecule: non-coding RNA, 744 nt
Organism: Phascolarctos cinereus (koala)
Lineage: Eukaryota; Metazoa; Chordata; Mammalia; Diprotodontia; Phascolarctidae
Source: RefSeq, a predicted model, not a curated record
UCUUGCUUUUCUUCAGACCUUUCCCUUGAAGCCUUCUGGAACUCACCAGAGCGAAAAGGAGGCAGCUUGUUCAUUGCCUCUGUUGGAACAUACCCCAACAAUAUAAUAGAUGUUAUGGCACCACAAAUGACAAAGGAGAAUGGCUUCAGAACAACUCGGGAGGAUUUCUAUGAACUGAUGCAGAAUAAAGUGGGCAAGACCAGCAGAACUGUUUACACAAAGACUGCAACCUUGUAAAAGAAAGACUUAAUGAACUCUGAUCAGUACAAUGGCCAAUUACGACACUAGAAGAUUGAUAAAGAUGUGCUAGACACCUCUUGACACAAAGAGAAUCCACUAGAUUGCAGAAUAAGACAUGUGUUCUCAGAUGUUGCCAAGUGAACAGAUCCAGAGCCUUUGAUAAGGUAACAACAAUGCUGAAAAGAUAAAUGACUUUGGAAGCCAUAAGAACUCUGAGCAAAGCAGUGACUAACCACCAUGCCAGGGGAUGGAUGAUGACACCUGCCACCCUCCUCAUGACAGACAGAAAUCCUUCCUUGUGCCAGGCACUGAAUAUACAGGAAUGAAAAUCAUCCCACUCCAUGACAUCCAGGCACCGGUGAAAGGACAAGGGAUGCACAACCUGAAAAGGAGAAGAACCAGGAGAUGUGUGAUAGACAAUAUCAUCUUCAAGAUUUUGGUGGGUCACAUGGGAGAGAAAUUAGCUUUAUUCUGUUUGGCUCCAGAGGAUGAUAAAUGGCAGAG